This 911-nucleotide ribosomal RNA is filed under the name Aggregatibacter segnis. RNAcentral's name for it is "bacterial SSU rRNA". It matches the Rfam family "Bacterial small subunit ribosomal RNA", at positions 28 to 922 of the family's 1533-position model. The record is from RNAcentral. Lineage: Bacteria; Pseudomonadati; Pseudomonadota; Gammaproteobacteria; Pasteurellales; Pasteurellaceae.
AUUGAACGCUGGCGGCAGGCUUAACACAUGCAAGUCGAACGGUAACAGGAGAAAGCUUGCUUUCUUGCUGACGAGUGGCGGACGGGUGAGUAAUGCUUGGGAAUCUGGCUUAUGGAGGGGGAUAACGACGGGAAACUGUCGCUAAUACCGCGUAGGAUCGAGAGAUGAAAGUGCGGGACCGCAAGGCCGCAUGCCAUAGGAUGAGCCCAAGUGGGAUUAGGUAGUUGGUGGGGUAAUGGCCUACCAAGCCGACGACCUCUAGCUGGUCUGAGAGGAUGACCAGCCACACCGGGACUGAGACACGGCCCGGACUCCUACGGGAGGCAGCAGUGGGGAAUAUUGCGCAAUGGGGGCAACCCUGACGCAGCCAUGCCGCGUGAAUAGAAGAAGGCCUUCGGGUUGUAAAGUUCUUUCGGUGACGAGGAAGGCGUGAUGUUUAAUAUGGCAUCACGAUUGACGUUAAUCACAGAAGAAGCACCGGCUAACUCCGUGCCAGCAGCCGCGGUAAUACGGAGGGUGCGAGCGUUAAUCGGAAUAACUGGGCGUAAAGGGCACGCAGGCGGCUAUUUAAGUGAGGUGUGAAAUCCCCGGGCUUAACCUGGGAAUUGCAUUUCAGACUGGGUAGCUAGAGUACUUUAGGGAGGGGUAGAAUUCCACGUGUAGCGGUGAAAUGCGUAAAGAUGUGGAGGAAUACCGAAGGCGUAAUGGCAGCCCCUUGGGAAUGUACUGACGCUCAUGUGCGAAAGCGUGGGGAGCAAACAGGAUUAAUACCCUGGUAGUCCACGCUGUAAACGCUGUCGAUUUGGGGAUUGGGCCUUGAGCUUGGUGCCCGAAGCUAACGUGAUAAAUCGACCGCCUGGGGAGUACGGCCCCCAAGGUUAAAACCUCAAAAUUGAAUUUGACCGGGGGGG